AUGCUUCUACUUUCUGUAUGGAGCUGGGAGCGUCUGCCUGUUGGACGCCCGAAGAGCGUCAGGUUUAAUCCUUGGUAUGAAGAUGAAGAUGACGACUUACGGCGCCCCACUUGGGCUUACAAGUGGGAUGUGGUUUCCGAGAUGACGAACGAUGUCAAUCUCAUGUACCAAAAGUACAUUGCCGAGUUGGACACGAUUACGCCUAAGCAGGUAACGAGGUCAUUACUUCAGUCAUUUCUCAUGCUUGCCUGA
Molecule: ribosomal RNA, 252 nt
Filed under: Triticum aestivum (bread wheat)
Lineage: Eukaryota; Viridiplantae; Streptophyta; Magnoliopsida; Poales; Poaceae
Description: partial small subunit ribosomal RNA
Source: RNAcentral